UAAGGAAUAUUGGUCAAUGGGGGCAACCCUGAACCAGCCAUGCCGCGUGCAGGAUGACUGCCCUACGGGUUGUAAACUGCUUUUAUCGGGGAAUAACCCCUUCUACGUGUAGGAGGCUGAAUGUACCCGAAGAAUAAGGAUCGGCUAACUCCGUGCCAGCAGCCGCGGUAAUACGGAGGAUCCAAGCGUUAUCCGGAUUUAUUGGGUUUAAAGGGUGCGUAGGCGGCGCUUUAAGUCAGGGGUGAAAUACGGCAGCUUAACUGUCGCAGUGCCUUUGAUACUGAAGUGCUUGAAUGCGGUUGAAGACGGCGGAAUGAGACAAGUAGCGGUGAAAUGCAUAGAUAUGUCUCAGAACACCAAUUGCGAAGGCAGCUGUCUAAGCCGAUAUUGACGCUGAUGCACGAAAGCGUGGGGAUCGAACAGG
RNAcentral lists this ribosomal RNA (424 nucleotides) under uncultured bacterium. RNAcentral's name for it is "bacterial SSU rRNA". It matches the Rfam family "Bacterial small subunit ribosomal RNA", at positions 355 to 776 of the family's 1533-position model. The record is from RNAcentral.